CGAAAGCGUGGGGAGCAAACAGGAUUAGAUACCCUGGUAGUCCACGCCGUAAACGAUGUCUACUAGCCGUUGGGACUCUUGAAGUCUUAGUGGCGCAGCUAACGCACUAAGUAGACCGCCUGGGGAGUACGGCCGCAAGGUUAAAACUCAAAUGAAUUGACGGGGGCCCGCACAAGCGGUGGAGCAUGUGGUUUAAUUCGACGCAACGCGAAGAACCUUACCUGGCCUUGACAUGCAGAGAACUUUCCAGAGAUGGAUUGGUGCCUUCGGGAACUCUGACACAGGUGCUGCAUGGCCGUCGUCAGCUCGUGUCGUGAGAUGUUGGGUUAAGUCCCGUAACGAGCGCAACCCCUAUCCCUAGUUGCUAGCAGUUCGGCUGAGAACUCUAGGGAGACUGCCGGUGACAAACCGGAGGAAGGUGGGGAUGACGUCAGGUCAUCAUGGCCCUUACGGCCAGGGCUACACACGUGCUACAAUGGUGCGCACAGAGGGCUGCAAACCCGCGAGGGGGAGCCAAUCUCACAAAACGCAUCGUAGUCCGGAUCGCAGUCUGCAACUCGACUGCGUGAAGUCGGAAUCGCUAGUAAUCGUGAAUCAGAAUGUCACGGUGAAUACGUUCCCGGGCCUUGUACACACCGCCCGUCACACCAUGGGAGUGGAUUGCACCAGAAGUGGUUAGUCUAACCUUCGGGAGGACGAUCACCACGGUGUGGUUCAUGACUGGGGUGAAGUCGGAACAAGGUAGCCGUACUGGAAGGUGCGGCUGGAUCACCUCCU
This 777-nucleotide ribosomal RNA is filed under the name Chrysotila carterae. RNAcentral describes it as "partial Bacterial small subunit ribosomal RNA". It matches the Rfam family "Bacterial small subunit ribosomal RNA", at positions 754 to 1531 of the family's 1533-position model. Lineage: Eukaryota; Haptophyta; Isochrysidales; Isochrysidaceae. The record is from RNAcentral.